CUGGCUCACACUAAAUUAUUUACAUUAAGAUUAUUAAGUUUCAGCGAGGACAUUAGAAGAUGAUAAUUAAACAAUUGACGGCACGCCCUGCCGUGGGCAGACGCUCAGGUAUUUAAACGCGGAGUGCGGUUUGAUUCUUGUGACGUUCGGGAGUCUGAAGAUGCGCAACUUGUUGAUUUCUUUCAUUUUCGGGAUCGCCCUCUCCGAAGAAUGCAAGCGGUUUCGUAGAGGUACUUGUUAAUCUCAGGGGUGAGAUUAUGGUUAAAAAUGGGGCUGGCGUCACAUACCUGGGCUA
RNAcentral lists this long non-coding RNA (295 nucleotides) under Lepisosteus oculatus (spotted gar). RNAcentral describes it as "lncRNA (ENSLOCG00000021214.1)". Lineage: Eukaryota; Metazoa; Chordata; Actinopteri; Semionotiformes; Lepisosteidae. The record is from RNAcentral.